CGGGCUGCCGGCCGAGAGGAGGCCCACACUGCACACGCGCAGACCGAGCAUCCGCGUCAAAAGCAGAAGAGAGCGCGCGCUCCCCACGUCCUGCGCGCCCAGCUGCCAGGCGUUCGUCCCUGCCGUGACUCCCGCCGGGCCUGGCCAGGCUGACGCGGCCUCAUCUGAAGAGCGAUGCCCCGGGAGAUCAUCACCCUGCAGCUGGGCCAGUGCGGCAACCAGAUUGGGUUCGAGUUCUGGAAGCAGCUGUGCGCCGAGCAUGGUAUCAGCCCCGAGGGCAUUGUGGAGGAGUUCGCCACCGAGGGCACUGAUCGCAAGGACGUCUUUUUCUACCAGGCGGACGAUGAACACUACAUCCCAAGGGCAGUGCUGCUGGACCUGGAGCCCAGGGUGAUCCACUCCAUCCUCAACUCCCCCUAUGCCAAACUCUACAACCCAGAGAACAUAUACCUGUCAGAGCAUGGAGGAGGAGCUGGCAACAACUGGGCCAGCGGAUUCUCCCAGGGUGAGAAAAUCCAUGAAGAUAUCUUUGACAUCAUAGACCGAGAAGCAGAUGGAAGUGACAGCCUAGAGGGCUUUGUGCUGUGUCAUUCCAUCGCUGGGGGGACCGGUUCUGGCCUGGGCUCCUACCUCUUGGAGCGAUUGAAUGACAGGUACCCCAAGAAGCUGGUACAGACAUACUCAGUGUUUCCCAACCAGGAUGAAAUGAGCGAUGUGGUGGUCCAGCCCUACAACUCACUGCUCACACUCAAGAGGCUGACCCAGAACGCCGACUGUGUGGUGGUGCUGGACAACACAGCCCUGAACCGGAUCGCCACAGACCGCCUGCACAUCCAGAAUCCCUCGUUCUCCCAGAUCAACCAGCUGGUGUCCACCAUCAUGUCAGCCAGCACCACCACCCUGCGCUACCCCGGCUACAUGAACAACGACCUCAUCGGCCUCAUCGCCUCGCUCAUUCCCACGCCACGGCUCCACUUCCUCAUGACUGGUUACACCCCCCUCACCACGGACCAGUCGGUGGCCAGCGUGAGAAAGACCACGGUCCUGGAUGUCAUGAGGCGACUGCUGCAGCCCAAGAACGUGAUGGUGUCCACAGGCCGGGAUCGCCAGACCAACCACUGCUACAUCGCCAUCCUCAACAUCAUCCAGGGGGAGGUGGACCCCACCCAGGUCCACAAGAGCCUGCAGAGGAUCCGGGAACGGAAGCUGGCCAACUUCAUCCCCUGGGGCCCCGCCAGCAUCCAGGUGGCCCUGUCCAGGAAGUCGCCCUACCUGCCUUCUGCCCACAGGGUCAGUGGGCUCAUGAUGGCCAACCACACCAGCAUCUCCUCGAUUUUUAUCUUUUUCAGCUCUUUGAAAGUUCCUGCCAGCAGUACGACAAGCUGCGGAAGCGGGAGGCCUUCCUGGAGCAGUUCCGGAAGGAGGACAUCUUUAAGGAUAACUUUGACGAGCUGGACAGGUCCAGGGAGGUCGUACAGGAGCUGAUUGAUGAGUACCAUGCGGCCACUCGACCAGACUACAUCUCCUGGGGCACCCAGGAGCAGUGAGUCCUCCGUACUGCACCCUCUGGACAGUCCUGCCCGAGGGUGGAUCUACAUUACCCAUAUUGCCCCAGCCUCCUCCACUCAGGGCAGAGGCUGUGGAGGCUGCUAAAAGAAGGCCUGCAGCAUUCUGAGCAAGUCAAGAAAACCAAGACUCUGGAUUCCCAGGCCCAAGGCAUUUAGAUCCUCAGGAGUUAACCCAAUUCAGCUUGAUCUGAUAAAGCAGUAACAGAGCUCAGGAGUAAAGCUGAGCCCAUCCUGAUCAAUGCAUUGUCUGUGCCAGAGAAGUUCUUGGGUCUGAUCCUGCUCCAGGCUUCUUCUGUUCCAGGCCCAAAGCAGUAGGCACAUUAAAGAUGGUCCCAACUAAGACCCAGAAGCUGGACACCAGGGUAGGACUGGGUAGUGCCAGUCCUGGUGACUCACUGUCCUUGGGCCUCAGGGACGCCAAGAGGCCACCCCUAUGCCACUCAAUGGAAGAAGGAUGAGUAAUUGCCAGCUUCCAAAACUGCCCUCUUGCCUGCCCCACCCACUACCCUAGGGCAGCAUACUGGCCACGAGGAGGUUAAAUCUAGAAGGUCAAGGAGGGUGGAGCCCUGCGGUGUUCAGACUCCUCUCAGUGCUGGUAAAAGCCUGGGAGUGUGGGCGUCCCUGGGGGUGGAGCUCUGAGCUCUGGGGCUCCAACUUGUCCCACUGACAACACUCCCACAGGAAGGGUUUGUGUAAAUAAGGAUUUUUUUUUUUUUUUUUGCUUCUCUUCUACAAAUAAAUUAAGAAACAAACUAGAAAA
This is an RNA transcript of Bubalus bubalis (water buffalo), 2328 nucleotides long. It is a transcript of the gene named tubulin gamma 2, with no coding region annotated. NCBI's taxonomy places the organism in Eukaryota, Metazoa, Chordata, Mammalia, Artiodactyla, Bovidae. The record is from RefSeq and is a predicted model, not a curated record. The transcript has 12 exons.